UGGGGGAUAUUGCACAAUGGGCGAAAGCCUGAUGCAGCAACGCCGCGUGAGGGAAGACGGUUUUCGGAUUGUAAACCUCUGUCUUCGGUGAAGAAACAAAUGACGGUAGCCGAGGAGGAAGCCACGGCUAACUACGUGCCAGCAGCCGCGGUAAUACGUAGGUGGCAAGCGUUGUCCGGAAUUACUGGGUGUAAAGGGAGCGCAGGCGGGGAGACAAGUCAGCUGUGAAAACUAUGGGCUUAACCCAUAAACUGCAGUUGAAACUGUUUUUCUUGAGUGGAGUAGAGGUAGGCGGAAUUCCGAGUGUAGCGGUGAAAUGCGUAGAUAUUCGGAGGAACACCAGUGGCGAAGGCGGCCUACUGGGCUCUAACUGACGCUGAGGCUCGAAAGUGUGGGGAGCAAACAGG
RNAcentral lists this ribosomal RNA (407 nucleotides) under uncultured bacterium. RNAcentral's name for it is "bacterial SSU rRNA". It matches the Rfam family "Bacterial small subunit ribosomal RNA", at positions 355 to 776 of the family's 1533-position model. The record is from RNAcentral.